RNAcentral lists this ribosomal RNA (726 nucleotides) under uncultured bacterium. Its description in RNAcentral is "bacterial SSU rRNA". It matches the Rfam family "Bacterial small subunit ribosomal RNA", at positions 57 to 794 of the family's 1533-position model. The record is from RNAcentral.
GCAGUCAGGGGGGCCCAGCAAUGGGCAACCGGCGAACGGGUGCGUAACACGUGAGCAACCUACCGAACUGUGGGGGAUAGCCGGCCUAACGGCCGAGUAAUACCGCAUACGCUCUCAGAGAGGCAUUUCUUUGAGAGGAAACCUACGGGACAGAUCGAGGGGCUCGCGGCCUAUCAGCUAGUUGGCGAGGUAACGGCUCACCAAGGCAACGACGGGUAGCUGGUCUGAGAGGAUGGCCAGCCACAUUGGGACUGAGAUACGGCCCAGACUCCUACGGGAGGCAGCAGUGGGGAAUCUUGCGCAAUGGCCUAACGGCUGACGCAGCGACGCCGCGUGUGGGAUGAAGCUCUUCGGAGUGUAAACCACUGUUGCCCGGGACGAAUAGCUCGAUUAAUCGAGCCUGACGGUACCGGGUGAGGAAGCACCGGCUAACUCCGUGCCAGCAGCCGCGGUAAUACGGGGGGUGCGAGCGUUGUCCGGAAUCACUGGGCGUAAAGGGCGCGUAGGUGGUUUGAUAAGGGUGUGGUGAAAGUCCGGGGCUCAACCCCGGAUCUGCCGUGCCGACUGUCAAACUCGAGGACUGUAGAGGCAGACGGAAUUCCGGGUGUAGCGGUGGAAUGCGUAGAGAUCCGGAGGAAGACCGGUGGCGAAGGCGGUCUGCUGGGCAGUUUCUGACACUGAGGCGCGACAGCGUGGGGAGCAAACAGGAUUAGAUACCCUGGUAGA